CGUGUACCUAACCAUAACCAUCAAUGUCUUUCUUAAAAUCAAUACACAAGUAUAUAUUUUUAAACCUGCAUAUUUAGUUAAUAUUGCAUGCUAACAUGAAUUUCUUUUAACCUGUUAGGGCUAGGGGGCAGUAUUGACACGGUUGGAUAAAAAACGUACCCGAUUUAAUCUGGUUACUACUCCUGCCCAGUAACUAGAAUAUACAUAUAAUUGUUGGCUUUGGAUAGAAAACACCCUAAAGUUUCUAAAACUGUUUGAAUGGUGUCUGUGAGUAUAACAGAACUCAUAUGGCAGGCAAAAACCUGAGAAGAUUUCAUGCAGGAAGUGGCCUGUCUGACAAAGUGUCGUUCUUCUUGCCUCUGUUUAUUGAAGACUGAGGAUCUCUGCUAUAACGUGACACUUCCUACGGCUCCCAUAGGCUCUCAGAAGGCGGCAAAAAGCUGAAUCGUGGCUUUGCAGGCUCUGGCUGAAAAAAAGUAGCGCGUUUGGGUAGUGGCUGGUUACAGUACUGUGAGACUCGCGUCGACCGAAUGCUUUGUUUUCUUUCCUCUGUUUACCUAAACGCAGAUUCCCGGUCGGAAUGUUAUCGCUUUUUACGAGAAAAAUGGCAUAAAAAUUGAUUUUAAACAGCGUUUGACAUGCUUCGAAGUACGGUAAUGGAAUAUUUAGAUUUUUUUUGUCACGAAUUGCGCCAUGCUUGUGACCCUUAUUUACACUUCGGAUAGUGUCUUGAACGCACGAACAAAACGCCGCUAUUUGGAUAUAACGAUGGAUUAUUUUGGACCAAACCAACAUUUGUUAUUGAAGUAGCAGUCCUGGGAGUGCAUUCUGACGAAGAACAUCAAAGAGGUAAGUGCAGUCGGGCUGUCUUCCUUCAGUAAUCUGUGGAGAAAAUUGCUGCCCCACAUCUCAAGCACUUAGCCCAGAACAUACCUGUGCUGGCAGUGCCAGAGGACCAACAAUCAGGUCUUAAGAUCUGCCACUCUGCCAGAAGCUGUUAAAUCAGCCAAGCUGAAGAAGCAAGAGCAGCAUCUCCUGCUUGUUCAGAUUGAGUGGUCUAUCUACCAGAAGAUGGUUUCUGACUGCGAGACCACCUGUCAAGACCUGCAGUUGUCUCUGGGGAGCCCUACUGAAGCAGCAAGCAAAGACAUCAGGUUGUAUUACAGAUUUGAUUUUCCUCAACAGGUGCACUCUCCUUUUGACCCUAUGCAGCCAGGGUCCAUCUACUUUUUAACAAGAACAAGUUUGUGCUCUGGUUAUUGUUCCUGGCAGACCAUACACAAGCUCCACCACAGUCUGGACCUUCACUUCCUGAUCACAGGCCACACAAAGUCUUCCCCUGACUGGUUGUUCGGCCUCAUCAAGCAGCACUUCAGAAAGACCUGAGUGAACACUGUGUCAGAGAUGGCUGGUAUGGUGAAGGACAGCACUGUGACAGGGGUUAAAAUCCCACAGCUGGUUGGACUGAAGGAUGUUACGGUGCUGGAAAAAACCUAUGGCUAGCAACCACACCUGACCUGUACUUCAGACCACUGCCACAGAUCAAGCAAUACCAGCACUUCAGCUUUAAUGCUCUGGAGCCUGGUGUUGUUGUCACCAAGGAGCGUUCGGACUCAGUCGGUACCUGCUGCGGAACGCUGACGUCUUUCCUCCUAUAGGUGGUCUGCCUGUACGAGCACCACCUGGACUGGACACAACUAGAUAAACAUAUAUUUUUAAAAGAUCAGGGAGUUUUGCAACGAAGAGGACAUGGACAUCAUAUGCCCUACACCAAAGUCAAGGGCAGGACAGAAACAGGCUCUCCGAAUAUAGGUUCCCUUGUUCAUGCGUGGUGCGGAUGGACCAGCUCAUCACUGGGUGCAAGUUCCCAGUCAUCUGGACUAUCUGCAGUGCCUAGGGCUGUGGCGGUUGCGAGAUUUCAUCAUUCGGUUAUUGUCAAGCAACUACACCUUAACAAUAAAUCCAUGAUUUACUUUAGGCAGGUCUAAAGAAGCAUGAUAUGAAGAAAAUGUAGUAUAGCAUGCUUUAAGUUGUCCUUAUGUUAGGUCCUGAUCUGGCUAUGCCAAAUGGCUGUGGGCUACACUAGUUCAUUUAACAAACAAGAUUUGCUUAGAAUUCAGUGGCAUUAUUUUAUAGUAUGAAGAAUACAAUUGGACAAAGCUGAAUAAAAUAGAAAGGAUAUUUUCUCCAAACGAUUUGAGGGAGCGCGCAAAUUUCUAUUCUGUGUUGAGCGGUUAACAAAGAAAUAGGUAUUCCUAUACGCUUAAUUUAGAAUUAUUAAUGUAACUUUAGUUGUUCUACAAACUUUGGGCUAUAUACAGUAUUUUGAUUUUGAAUACAUUGUAAGGCUGCAUGAUGCGAUUGUAAUGAUUAUAAAUAUAUAUUAUUUUGUUCUUUCUUUACUAGCAUUGACACUUAUAUUUUAUAUUUAUAUUGACACUUUCUAUUUUUGAUAUUGCUACUAUACAAAUAUGCAAGUAACCAUUUCACUGUACCCAUCCACUUAGCUAGACGUUGCUAUGGGGUGAUUAUAGCCUGAUUACAGGUGUGUCUGGAGGUGAUUACGGCCAUGUAACGAUCGUCUGGAAGAGGGGACCAAGAUGCAGCGUGGUAAGUGGUCAUAAUGAUUUUUAAUGAGACACUUCAAAAACAAACAGGGAAAACGAAAGCCAACAGUUCUGCCAGGUGAACACACACAAGACAGAAAAC
RNAcentral lists this long non-coding RNA (2709 nucleotides) under Salmo salar (Atlantic salmon). RNAcentral describes it as "lncRNA (ENSSSAG00000095486.1)". Lineage: Eukaryota; Metazoa; Chordata; Actinopteri; Salmoniformes; Salmonidae. The record is from RNAcentral.